This 495-nucleotide ribosomal RNA is filed under the name uncultured bacterium. Its description in RNAcentral is "partial 16S ribosomal RNA". It matches the Rfam family "Bacterial small subunit ribosomal RNA", at positions 28 to 523 of the family's 1533-position model. The record is from RNAcentral.
GAUGAACGCUAGCGGGAGGCCCAACACAUGCAAGCCGAGCGGUAUUUGUCUUUCGGGACAGAGAGAGCGGCGUACGGGUGCGGAACACGUGUGCAACCUGCCUUUAUCAAGAGGAUAGCCUUUCGAAAGGAAGAUUAAUACUCUAUAAUAUAUUGAUUGGCAUCAGUUAAUAUUGAAAGUUACGGCGGAUAAAGAUGGGCACGCGCAAGAUUAGCUAGUUGGUGAGGUAACGGCUCACCAAGGCGAUGAUCUUUAGGGGGCCUGAGAGGGUGAUCCCCCACACUGGUACUGAGACACGGACCAGACUCCUACGGGAGACAGCAGUGAGGAAUAUUGGUCAAUGGGUGCAAGCCUGAACCAGCCAUCCCGCGUGAAGGACGACUGCCCUAUGGGUUGUAAACUUCUUUUGUAUAGGGAUAAACCUCUCCUCGUGAGGAGAGCUGAAGGUACUAUACGAAUAAGCACCGGCUAACUCCGUGCCAGCCGCCGCGGUAA